GCGCGAUAGCUGAGUCGGUAUAGAGCAGUGGUCUCGUAAUCCAUUGACCCGGGUUCGAAACCAAGUCGAUGCG
RNAcentral lists this transfer RNA (73 nucleotides) under Strongylocentrotus purpuratus (purple sea urchin). It matches the Rfam family "tRNA". From Rfam's summary of the family: Transfer RNA (tRNA) molecules are approximately 80 nucleotides in length. The record is from Rfam by way of RNAcentral. Lineage: Eukaryota; Metazoa; Echinodermata; Echinoidea; Camarodonta; Strongylocentrotidae.